GGGUGAACUUAGAGCCCUCUGGCGAAGCAGUGUUAAUAGUUGUGCCCUUGGCCGAGCACCACGGUUAGUGAAUC
This 74-nucleotide non-coding RNA is filed under the name uncultured Prevotella sp. RNAcentral's name for it is "L13-Bacteroidia ribosomal protein leader". It matches the Rfam family "L13-Bacteroidia ribosomal protein leader". The record is from RNAcentral. Lineage: Bacteria; Pseudomonadati; Bacteroidota; Bacteroidia; Bacteroidales; Prevotellaceae.